UACGGGGGGGGCAAGCGUUGUUCGGAAUUACUGGGCGUAAAGGGCGCGUAGGCGGCCUUCUAAGUCGGACGUGAAAUCCCUCGGCUCAACCGGGGAACUGCGUCCGAUACUGGAGGGCUUGAAUCCGGGAGAGGGAUGUGGAAUUCCAGGUGUAGCGGUGAAAUGCGUAGAUAUCUGGAGGAACACCGGUGGCGAAGGCGACAUCCUGGACCGGUAUCGACGCUGAGGCGCGAAAGCCAGGGGAGCAAACGGG
This 253-nucleotide ribosomal RNA is filed under the name uncultured bacterium. Its description in RNAcentral is "partial 16S ribosomal RNA". It matches the Rfam family "Bacterial small subunit ribosomal RNA", at positions 524 to 776 of the family's 1533-position model. The record is from RNAcentral.